This 72-nucleotide transfer RNA is filed under the name Armillaria borealis. RNAcentral's name for it is "tRNA-Glu". It matches the Rfam family "tRNA". Rfam says of the family: Transfer RNA (tRNA) molecules are approximately 80 nucleotides in length. Their secondary structure includes four short double-helical elements and three loops (D, anti-codon, and T loops). The record is from RNAcentral. Lineage: Eukaryota; Fungi; Basidiomycota; Agaricomycetes; Agaricales; Physalacriaceae. RNAcentral also lists the same sequence under 12 other names.
GGUCCUUUGGUAUAGUGGUUUGUACAGCUCCCUUUCAUGGAUCUGGGACCAGUUCAAUUCUGGUAGGGACCA